RNAcentral lists this ribosomal RNA (210 nucleotides) under Acinetobacter radioresistens. RNAcentral describes it as "partial 16S ribosomal RNA". It matches the Rfam family "Bacterial small subunit ribosomal RNA", at positions 76 to 289 of the family's 1533-position model. The record is from RNAcentral. Lineage: Bacteria; Pseudomonadati; Pseudomonadota; Gammaproteobacteria; Moraxellales; Moraxellaceae.
UAGCUUGCUACUGGAUUCAGCGGCGGACGGGUGAGUAAUGCUUAGGAAUCUGCCUAUUAGUGGGGGACAACGUUCCGAAAGGGGCGCUAAUACCGCAUACGUCCUACGGGAGAAAGCAGGGGACCUUUGGGCCUUGCGCUAAUAGAUGAGCCUAAGUCGGAUUAGCUAGUUGGUAGGGUAAAGGCCUACCAAGGCGACGAUCUGUAGCGG